CCUACGGGAGGCAGCAGUGGGGAAUAUUGCGCAAUGGGCGAAAGCCUGACGCAGCCAUGCCGCGUGUGUGAAGAAGGCCUUCGGGUUGUAAAGCACUUUCAGAGGGGAGGAAACGGUGCUGGCUAAUAUCCAGCGCACUUGACGCUACCCUCAGAAGAAGCACCGGCUAAUUCCGUGCCAGCAGCCGCGGUAAU
RNAcentral lists this ribosomal RNA (194 nucleotides) under uncultured bacterium. RNAcentral describes it as "partial 16S ribosomal RNA". It matches the Rfam family "Bacterial small subunit ribosomal RNA", at positions 338 to 524 of the family's 1533-position model. The record is from RNAcentral.